Fukomys damarensis (Damara mole-rat) is the source of this 104-nucleotide small nuclear RNA. The record is from Ensembl. NCBI's taxonomy places the organism in Eukaryota, Metazoa, Chordata, Mammalia, Rodentia, Bathyergidae.
UUGAUCGCUUUGGAGGCACAUAUACUAAAAUUGAAAUGAUACAGAGAUUAGCAUGGCCCAUGCACAGGGAUGGCAGGCAAAUUUGUGAAGCAUUUAAUAUUAUU